CAGUUGCAAGUGGGGCGCUAGUUUUCAUGGUAAGAUUGUUUUAUUUCACACAUGAAGCCCAGAUGUUGGAAAACGAGCAAGAAAAAUUUCGUUGCCUAUUAUGCACCCUUAAUUGGUACGAAUGGAACUUACCCAAUCAGAAACUUUUCCAAAUUUUCCUAAUACAAGCUUCAGUGGAGUUAUCUGCUAAUAUGACUCCUUUGCUAAAAAUAGACCAUAAUUAUUUCAAAGAUUGUGUAAAAAUGCUUUAUACGGUGACAAGCCUGGGAAGAACCAUAUUAAACAGAUAAAUGGACUAUGCAUACAACCAGAAAUGACCUAACAAAGAUUUUCUUUUAGUAAUAGUAGAAUAUUAG
This is a long non-coding RNA of Anthonomus grandis grandis, 356 nucleotides long. RefSeq lists it as uncharacterized. NCBI's taxonomy places the organism in Eukaryota, Metazoa, Arthropoda, Insecta, Coleoptera, Curculionidae. The transcript is spliced from 3 exons. The record is from RefSeq and is a predicted model, not a curated record.